This 125-nucleotide non-coding RNA is filed under the name marine sediment metagenome. RNAcentral describes it as "SAM riboswitch aptamer (S box leader)". It matches the Rfam family "SAM riboswitch aptamer (S box leader)". From Rfam's summary of the family: The SAM riboswitch is found upstream of a number of genes which code for proteins involved in methionine or cysteine biosynthesis in Gram-positive bacteria. The SAM riboswitch acts at the level of transcription termination control. The record is from RNAcentral. RNAcentral also lists the same sequence under 1 other name.
UCUUAUCGAGAGAGGUUAAGGGACCCGGCCCGAUGACACCUCGGCAACCUGCCGGCCUGUACCCGGUAAGGGUGUAAAAGCGGCAAGGUGCCAAACCCGGCAGAAUCCAAUUCUGAGGGAUGAGA